Molecule: ribosomal RNA, 253 nt
Filed under: uncultured bacterium
Lineage: Bacteria
Description: partial 16S ribosomal RNA
Rfam family: Bacterial small subunit ribosomal RNA
Source: RNAcentral
GACAGAGGGGGCAAGCGUUGCUCGGAAUUACUGGGCGUAAAGGGCGCGUAGGCGGGAUGGCAAGUCGGUCGUGAAAUCCCCGGGCUUAACCUGGGAAUUGCGCUUGAAACUAGCGGGCUUGAGUGUGGCAGAGGGGGGUGGAAUUCCACGUGUAGCAGUGAAAUGCGUAGAGAUGUGGAGGAACACCGAUGGCGAAGGCAGCCCCCUGGGUCAACACUGACGCUCAUGCACGAAAGCGUGGGGAGCAAACAGG